Molecule: ribosomal RNA, 770 nt
Filed under: Triticum aestivum (bread wheat)
Lineage: Eukaryota; Viridiplantae; Streptophyta; Magnoliopsida; Poales; Poaceae
Description: partial small subunit ribosomal RNA
Source: RNAcentral
AUCCAGGCCACCAUGGCUGUCGAUGUCGCCGUGUCGGCGAUCCCGCGGCCCCGUGGAUGGAUAAGAAAGGUUCCGUCACCCCCUGGAGGAAUCCGUGACCGCCCACAUCCAUCUCCCCCUCUUCCCCCCAUCUCCACCUCUCCCUCUCUGUCGUUCUGGAGGAAGGGCCGACGCGCCCUCCGCCGUCCACCACGCGCCACCGCGGCCAUCGACCUCCCCUCGACACUCCGCCCUGACCAGGAGCUCCGGGACGCUCCUCCGCUUCUUCUUCGCCAACUAGCACAAGCCGGGACGCCACAUCGACGCCGCCCUCGCCAAUCCCCUCCGCUGGCGUCCGCCUCUGCCUCACCGUCGAUCCGCCGCCAUCCGCCGCUCGGUUUGCCCAUCGUCGACAAGCUCCGGCCAACCCGACCCCUCCACGAUCUUUGGUACCCCGAGAUUGCCGCUGAUGCCGCUGUGAUCGACUACGUCGACGACGACCCCUUCUUCUUGUCUGAGCAACCAGAUGGUGUACCCCUGGAGCCAGAAGCCACCGUUGACGGAUACUACUACGUGGAGACCGCCGACGACCAAGAGUAGUUAGGAGGUCUCAGGCAGGAGGCCUUGCCUCUUCGAUCGUUGAUGUUUGUGCUAGCCUUUUAAGGCAUCCUUGUCUAACUUAUGUCUGUACUCAGAUAUUGUUGCUUCCGCUGACUCUUGUGUAUCGAGCUUGUAUUCGAGCCCUCGAGGCCCUGGCUUGUAAUAUGAAGCUUGUAUUACUUUGAUUUGUG